Homo sapiens (human) is the source of this 493-nucleotide long non-coding RNA. RefSeq lists it as uncharacterized. NCBI's taxonomy places the organism in Eukaryota, Metazoa, Chordata, Mammalia, Primates, Hominidae. The transcript is spliced from 3 exons. The record is from RefSeq and is a predicted model, not a curated record.
CUCCGGCAUAGAACAUUUAACAGCUUGCUCAAGAUCGUCCAUCUCCUAAUGGGCAGAGCUAGGUUCUGGAUUCAGACAGCCUGGCUCCACGAUCCAAGUUUUAAAUGCUGAAUCUGAGCAUCAGAGAAGUUAAGGCACUCGAUAAAGACUUCAGUGAUUUUUCCAGAUAAUACAGGGGAAGAAUUGGAACUUAAAGCCAGGUCUUCUGUCUCCAAAUCCCAUGACCUUUAGAGCAUGUUUGAAGGAGAAAGUUCACACAUUUUCAUCUGAGAUACCUACUACUCUUUCUAAAACUAAAUGCGGAGUCUCAGCUGCUUCUAUGAGCUGGGAGGUCAGUGCUCCUAACCCCCACAUUGUUCAAGAGUCAACUGUAUCAGGAAAUACAGAGAGAGGCACGAUGAGAAGGUGGCCAUCUGCAGCCAGGAAGAAAGGCCUCAGGAGAAACCAAACCUGCCGACACCCUGGUUUCAGACUUUCGGCCUCCAGAACUUCA